UGGGGAAUAUUGCACAAUGGGCGGAAGCCUGAUGCAGCUACGCCGCGUGGGGGAUGAAGGCCUUCGGGUUGUAAACUCCUUUCGACGGGGGCGAAGCUUUUGUGACGGUACCUGUAUAAGAAGCACCGGCUAACUACGUGCCAGCAGCCGCGGUAAUACGUAGGGUGCGAGCGUUGUCCGGAAUUACUGGGCGUAAAGAGCUCGUAGGUGGUUUGUCGCGUCGUCUGUGAAAUUCCGGGGCUUAACUCCGGGCGUGCAGGCGAUACGGGCUGGCUUGAGUGCUGUAGGGGAGACUGGAAUUCCUGGUGUAGCGGUGAAAUGCGCAGAUAUCAGGAGGAACACCGAUGGCGAAGGCAGGUCUCUGGGCAGUAACUGACGCUGAGGGGCGAAAGCAUGGGUAGCGAACAGG
RNAcentral lists this ribosomal RNA (409 nucleotides) under Actinomycetes bacterium. RNAcentral describes it as "Actinobacteria bacterium partial 16S ribosomal RNA". It matches the Rfam family "Bacterial small subunit ribosomal RNA", at positions 355 to 776 of the family's 1533-position model. The record is from RNAcentral. Lineage: Bacteria; Bacillati; Actinomycetota; Actinomycetes.